This 88-nucleotide ribosomal RNA is filed under the name Salmonella enterica subsp. enterica serovar London. RNAcentral's name for it is "partial 16S ribosomal RNA". The record is from RNAcentral. Lineage: Bacteria; Pseudomonadati; Pseudomonadota; Gammaproteobacteria; Enterobacterales; Enterobacteriaceae.
ACCACUUUGUGAAUCGUGACUGGGGUGAAGUCGAAAGAAGGUAAGCGUAGGGAGAACUGGGGUUGGAUCACCUCCUUACCUUAAAGAA